CAGUAGCCGCGGUAACACGAGGGGGGCGAGCGUUGUUCGGAAUUAUUGGGCGUAAAGGGCGCGUAGGCGGUCGGAUAAGUCUUGUGUGAAAUCUUCGGGCUCAACUCGAAGUCUGCACAGGAAACUAUCUGGCUUGAGUGUGGGAGAGGUGAGUGGAAUUCCUGGUGUAGCGGUGAAAUGCGUAGAUAUCAGGAGGAACACCUGUGGCGAAAGCGGCUCACUGGACCACAACUGACGCUGAGGCGCGAAAGCUAGGGGAGCAAACAGGAUUAGAUACCCGCGUAGUCCCUGUCUCUUAUAC
RNAcentral lists this ribosomal RNA (301 nucleotides) under uncultured bacterium. Its description in RNAcentral is "partial 16S ribosomal RNA". It matches the Rfam family "Bacterial small subunit ribosomal RNA", at positions 509 to 807 of the family's 1533-position model. The record is from RNAcentral.